This 1015-nucleotide small RNA is filed under the name Trichophyton verrucosum. RNAcentral's name for it is "eukaryotic LSU rRNA". The stretch from base 633 to 1015 matches the Rfam family "Eukaryotic large subunit ribosomal RNA", at positions 1 to 378 of the family's 3401-position model. The record is from RNAcentral. Lineage: Eukaryota; Fungi; Ascomycota; Eurotiomycetes; Onygenales; Arthrodermataceae.
GUAACAAGGUUUCCGUAGGUGAACCUGCGGAAGGAUCAUUAACGCGCAGGCCGGAGGCUGGCCCCCCACGAUAGGGAUCAGCGUUCCAUCAGGGGUGUGCAGAUGUGCGCCGGCCUUACGCCCCAUUCUUGUCUACCUUACUCGGUUGCCUCGGCGGGCCGCGCUCUCCCCGGAGAGUCGUCCGGCGAGCCUCUUCGGGGGCUUUAGCUGGAUCGCGCCCGCCGGAGGACAGACAUCAAAAAAUCUUGAAGAGCUGUCAGUCUGAGCGUUAGCAAGCAAAAUCAGUUAAAACUUUCAACAACGGAUCUCUUGGUUCCGGCAUCGAUGAAGAACGCAGCGAAAUGCGAUAAGUAAUGUGAAUUGCAGAAUUCCGUGAAUCAUCGAAUCUUUGAACGCACAUUGCGCCCUCUGGUAUUCCGGGGGGCAUGCCUGUUCGAGCGUCAUUUCAACCCCUCAAGCUCGGCUUGUGUGAUGGACGACCGUCCGGCCCCCUCUUUCGGGGGCGGGACGCGCCCGAAAAGCAGUGGCCAGGCCGCGAUUCCGGCUUCCUGGGCGAAUGGGCAAUCAAACCAGCGCCCUCAGGACCGGCCGCUCUGGCCUUCCCCCAAAUCUCUCUGAGAUUUUUUUCAGGUUGACCUCGGAUCAGGUAGGGAUACCCGCUGAACUUAAGCAUAUCAAUAAGCGGAGGAAAAGAAACCAACAGGGAUUGCCCCAGUAACGGCGAGUGAAGCGGCAGGAGCUCAAAUUUGAAAUCUGACCUCCUCCGGGGGUCCGAGUUGUAAUUUGCAGAGGAUGCUUCGGGUGCGGCCCCCGUCUAAGUUCCUUGGAACAGGACGUCAGAGAGGGUGAGAAUCCCGUCUUGGGCGGGCGGCCCGCGCCCGUGUGAAGAUCCUUCGACGAGUCGAGUUGUUUGGGAAUGCAGCUCUAAGCGGGUGGUAAAUUUCAUCUAAAGCUAAAUACUGGCCGGAGACCGAUAGCGCACAAGUAGAGUGAUCGAAAGGUUAAAAGCACCUUG